This 266-nucleotide ribosomal RNA is filed under the name Anoxybacillus pushchinoensis. RNAcentral's name for it is "16S rRNA. Bacterial SSU". It matches the Rfam family "Bacterial small subunit ribosomal RNA", at positions 1 to 253 of the family's 1533-position model. The record is from RNAcentral. Lineage: Bacteria; Bacillati; Bacillota; Bacilli; Caryophanales; Anoxybacillaceae.
UUUCUAUGGAGAGUUUGAUCCUGGCUCAGGACGAACGCUGGCGGCGUGCCUAAUACAUGCAAGUCGAGCGGACGAUUCAAAAGCUUGCUUUUGAAUCGUUAGCGGCGGACGGGUGAGUAACACGUGGGCAACCUGCCCUGUAGACGGGGAUAACACCGAGAAAUCGGUGCUAAUACCGGAUAACACGAAAUGUCGCAUGACGUUUCGUUGAAAGGCGGCGCAAGCUGCCGCUACAGGAUGGGCUCGCGGCGCAUUAGCUAGUUGGU